This 497-nucleotide ribosomal RNA is filed under the name uncultured bacterium. RNAcentral's name for it is "partial 16S ribosomal RNA". It matches the Rfam family "Bacterial small subunit ribosomal RNA", at positions 28 to 507 of the family's 1533-position model. The record is from RNAcentral.
GAUGAACGCUGGCGGCGUGCCUAAUACAUGCGAGUCGAGCGAACGGACGAGAAGCUUGCUUUUCUGAUGUUAGCGGCGGGCGGGUGAGUAACACGUGGAUAACCUACCUAUAAGACUGGGAUAACUUCGGGAAACCGGAGCUAAUACCGGAUAAUAUUUUGAACCGCAUGGUUCAAAAGUGAAAGACGGUCUUGCUGUCACUUAUAGAUGGAUCCGCGCUGCAUUAGCUAGUUGGUAAGGUAACGGCUUACCAAGGCAACGAUGCAUAGCCGACCUGAGAGGGUGAUCGGCCACACUGGAACUGAGACACGGUCCAGACUCCUACGGGAGGCAGCAGUAGGGAAUCUUCCGCAAUGGGCGAAAGCCUGACGGAGCAACGCCGCGUGAGUGAUGAAGGUCUUCGGAUCGUAAAACUCUGUUAUUAGGGAAGAACAUAUGUGUAAGUAACUGUGCACGUCUUGACGGUACCUAAUCAGAAAGCCACGGCUAACUACGUG